AACGCGAAGAACCUUACCUGGUCUUGACAUCCCUUUGACCGGCAAGUAAUGUUGCCUUUCCUUCGGGACAGAGGAGACAGGUGGUGCAUGGUUGUCGUCAGCUCGUGUCGUGUGAUGUUGGGUUAAGUCCCGCAACGAGCGCAACCCUUACCUUCAGUAACCAGCACGUAAUGGUGGGGACUCUGGAGGGACUGCCAGGGACAACCUGGAGGAAGGUGGGGAUGACGUCAAAUCAUCAUGCCCCUUAUGAUCAGGGCUACACACGUGCUACAAUGGCGUAAACAAAGAGAGGCGAGGCUGUGAAGCGGAGCAAAUCUCAAAAAUAACGUCUCAGUUCGGAUUGUAGUCUGCAACUCGACUACAUGAAGCUGGAAUCGCUAGUAAUCGCGGAUCAGAAUGCCGCGGUGAAUACGUUCCCGGGUCUUGUACACACCG
RNAcentral lists this ribosomal RNA (435 nucleotides) under uncultured bacterium. Its description in RNAcentral is "bacterial SSU rRNA". It matches the Rfam family "Bacterial small subunit ribosomal RNA", at positions 958 to 1392 of the family's 1533-position model. The record is from RNAcentral.